RNAcentral lists this ribosomal RNA (429 nucleotides) under Chloroflexota bacterium. Its description in RNAcentral is "Chloroflexi bacterium partial 16S ribosomal RNA". It matches the Rfam family "Bacterial small subunit ribosomal RNA", at positions 355 to 776 of the family's 1533-position model. Lineage: Bacteria; Bacillati; Chloroflexota. The record is from RNAcentral.
UAGGGAAUCUUCGGCAAUGGACGAAAGUCUGACCGAGCAACGCCGCGUGAGUGAAGAAGGUUUUCGGAUCGUAAAACUCUGUUGUUAGAGAAGAACAAGGACGUUAGUAACUUAACGUCCCCUGACGGUAUCUAACCAGAAAGCCACGGCUAACUACGUGCCAGCAGCCGCGGUAAUACGUAGGUGGCAAGCGUUGGCCGGAUUUAUUGGGCGUAAAGCGAGCGCAGGCUGUUUCUUAAGUAUGAUGUGAAAGCCCCCGGCUCAACCGGGGAGGGACAUUGGAAACUGGGAAACUUGAGUGCAGAAGAGGAGAGUGGAAUUCCAUGUGUAUCGGUGAAAUGCGUAGAUAUAUGGAGGAACACCAGUGGCGAAGGCGGCUCUAUGGUCUGUAACUGACGCUGAGGAUCGAAAGCGUGGGGAGCAAACAGG